AGCUUUGCAAACUGUCUUCUUAGCCUCUGAAGUUUCCAAGGCAUAGACUCCUACAGUGGAAAACUGCUAGUUGCACAGGCCAGAACACCCUUAGCUGGAACAGCAUUUGAGAGUUGCCAGUAUCUUUAUCACUGAUCUUUAUGGUAAUGGAGAUAAUUGAUGUACAGGUCAAAUAUCACUGCUCAGCUGCCUAAGAAAAUGAAACUACCAUUUCCGGGAAGGAAGUGGAUGCAAAUACCCAUCUUCCGCUGUGCUCCUCACGUCUUGCAGCUUUCUGCAAUUCCAUCUCUUACACUUCACUCUCAGGAUUCAGAUCCAUCCAUUGUGUAAUU
RNAcentral lists this long non-coding RNA (332 nucleotides) under Equus caballus (horse). RNAcentral's name for it is "lncRNA (ENSECAG00000056787.1)". The record is from RNAcentral. Lineage: Eukaryota; Metazoa; Chordata; Mammalia; Perissodactyla; Equidae.